UGUUAUUGAUCAUAUAUGUGGGCUGAAGGGGUAAAUAUUAAAACUGGCAAAUCAAGUACGUCUCCAAUUAUGUGUAUAUGUUGUAUAUAUUCUUGCAAAAAUUGAUUGUUAGAGAAUGAGUAUAUGAUGUGUAUUUUCUUGCAAUUUGUAUUUCAGGAAGAUGGAAAUUGUUUCAUGAAAAGUGAUGGAGUAAAGAGGGGCUUGAAGAGGAUGGAUUCGCUGAUUCUAUUACAUAACAGGUGAGCCCCAGAUUUAUUUUCAAAAUAGUCACAAAUAUCAAUUUAUAAUUUUAGCUUAAAAACUGUGGAAGUGCUUCUGUCGGCUGACAGCAACAUCUUGCAUAUUAAGCAGGUGAUAGUUCCAAGGAAAUUGAUGAGUUGACAGAGAAUUAAACGAGUUGAAUAAACGUCUGGAGCAGAAAGAGGUGUGAUUCUAUUACAUAUUAAUUGGUUCAUAUUAUUCUUCCAACUAAAAUUUAAUUGUAUAUCUGAUUAGCCAUAUGAUCAAACAGCUAAGAUAGGAUGAUAGAAGAAAUGAAUAUGAACGGCUUAAACAUCAAUCUUUGAACCAGUGUAAGUUUACCCAUUUUUGAAUUUCCUCACUUUAACUUUUAUGUUUUAUGCUUAUAUCAACAUGUUGAUUCACACCUAAAUCAAUGAAAGCUUUUCUCUUGCAGGUACUUCAAAGACAGACAGAACAGGCCGCAAUGGCGGCCAAGAGGUUAAAGGAGUUGCUAGAAGCUCGUAAGUUGUCCGCAUGUGAUAGCUCAGUUGAAUAAUUUUCUUUAUUGCAAGAGGAGAUGAUUUCCAUGAUAUUAUUUGUUGUUAUUAAUAGUUUAAAUUUUAAAACCUCGGCCUAGUUCUAAAUUGUUCCAUCUAAUAAUCAAAUCAAUUGGAAUUGGAUUACUAUGGUAGUCAUAGCUUGGGGACAGGGGUAUAAUUUCUGCCAAUU
Molecule: long non-coding RNA, 951 nt
Filed under: Aquilegia coerulea
Lineage: Eukaryota; Viridiplantae; Streptophyta; Magnoliopsida; Ranunculales; Ranunculaceae
Description: long non-coding RNA (ACOE_LNC001614)
Source: RNAcentral